Molecule: long non-coding RNA, 549 nt
Filed under: Homo sapiens (human)
Lineage: Eukaryota; Metazoa; Chordata; Mammalia; Primates; Hominidae
Description: HSALNT0199145
Source: RNAcentral
UGGUGAUAAGAAGCCAUGCCUCCAAGCCAGCCAUUCUUUCUGGAAGUUCCAGUGCCUAACUAUGAAGGAGGCUGGGAACAUGAGUAUGUGGCACAGAAGAAUGGAAUGACAGCAAGUGACUCAAGCCCAGCAUCCCCUGGAAUUUCUCAGACCUGAUUCCCUAGGAACAGGGUCUCUCCACCUGGCAUCUGCACCAAACUUGUGUCAGCAAGGAAGAAGGGGAAGGGUGGAAAUGGUUGUAGAAGAAGCUGCAGACUGGUCUGCUACAUACCUUGAUUUAUAGGUGGGGCACAGAGACACACGGAAGCCUCCUCCAGAUGACAGAGCUGUUUAGUGGUUAACCAUAGCAAAAUCCCGGGCUCUUGCUUCAUUAUUACUUCUCGGCACAAAAUGAUGGGAUAGCUAUCUAUGUGCUUCUCAACUAUCACGGCCCUGAUGCAAAGUUUUGAUAUACAAAAUUUAUAGACCUUAAAAAUUCUGAAGAGUAAAGUACAGCUAUUGCAUGAUCACAGACCAGCAAUUAAAGUGUCCUCCUAAAUAACAGAGCAC